GAUGAACGCUGGCGGCGUGCCUAAUACAUGCAAGUCGAGCGAACAGAUGAGGAGCUUGCUCCUCUGACGUUAGCGGCGGACGGGUGAGUAACACGUGGAUAACCUACCUAUAAGACUGGGAUAACUUCGGGAAACCGGAGCUAAUACCGGAUAAUAUAUUGAACCGCAUGGUUCAAUAGUGAAAGACGGUUUUGCUGUCACUUAUAGAUGGAUCCGCGCCGCAUUAGCUAGUUGGUAAGGUAACGGCUUACCAAGGCAACGAUGCGUAGCCGACCGGAGAGGGUGAUCGGCCACCUUGGAGCGGAGACAGGGUCAAGACUCCUACGGGAGGCAACAGUAUGGAAUGGUCCGCAAUGGGCGAAAGCCUGACGGAGCAACGCCGAGUGAGUGAUGAAGGUCUUCGGAUCGUAAAACUCUGUUAUUAGGGAAGAACAACUGUGUAAGUAACUAUGCACGUCUUGACGGUACCGAAUCAGAAAGCCACGGCUAACUACGUG
Molecule: ribosomal RNA, 497 nt
Filed under: uncultured bacterium
Lineage: Bacteria
Description: partial 16S ribosomal RNA
Rfam family: Bacterial small subunit ribosomal RNA
Source: RNAcentral